AAAAGACGACAUUAGACGAAUCAUCUGGAAAGAUGAAUCAAAGAAGGUAAUAAUCCUGUAGUCGAAAAUGUUGUCUCUCUUGAGUGGAUCCUGAGUACGACGGAGCACGUGAAAUUCCGUCGGAAUCUGGGAGGACCAUCUCCUAAGGCUAAAUACUCUCUAGUGACCGAUAGUGAACCAGUACCGUGAGGGAAAGGUGAAAAGCACCCCGGAAGGGGAGUGAAAUAGAACCUGAAACCGUGUGCUUACAAGUAGUCAGAGCCCGUUAAUGGGUGAUGGCGUGCCUUUUGUAGAAUGAACCGGCGAGUUACGAUUUGAUGCAAGGUUAAGCAGUAAAUGUGGAGCCGUAGCGAAAGCGAGUCUGAAUAGGGCGUUUAGUAUUUGGUCGUAGACCCGAAACCAGGUGAUCUACCCUUGGUCAGGUUGAAGUUCAGGUAACACUGAAUGGAGGACCGAACCGACUUACGUUGAAAAGUGAGCGGAUGAACUGAGGGUAGCGGAGAAAUUCCAAUCGAACCUGGAGAUAGCUGGUUCUCUCCGAAAUAGCUUUAGGGCUAGCCUCAAGUGAUGAUUAUUGGAGGUAGAGCACUGUUUGGACGAGGGGCCCCUCUCGGGUUACCGAAUUCAGACAAACUCCGAAUGCCAAUUAAUUUAACUUGGGAGUCAGAACAUGGGUGAUAAGGUCCGUGUUCGAAAGGGAAACAGCCCAGACCACCAGCUAAGGUCCCAAAAUAUAUGUUAAGUGGAAAAGGAUGUGGCGUUGCCCAGACAACUAGGAUGUUGGCUUAGAAGCAGCCAUCAUUUAAAGAGUGCGUAAUAGCUCACUAGUCGAGUGACACUGCGCCGAAAAUGUACCGGGGCUAAACAUAUUACCGAAGCUGUGGAUUGUCCUUUGGACAAUGGUAGGAGAGCGUUCUAAGGGCGUUGAAGCAUGAUCGUAAGGACAUGUGGAGCGCUUAGAAGUGAGAAUGCCGGUGUGAGUAGCGAAAGACGGGUGAGAAUCCCGUCCACCGAUUGACUAAGGUUUCCAGAGGAAGGCUCGUCCGCUCUGGGUUAGUCGGGUCCUAAGCUGAGGCCGACAGGCGUAGGCGAUGGAUAACAGGUUGAUAUUCCUGUACCACCUAUAAUCGUUUUAAUCGAUGGGGGGACGCAGUAGGAUAGGCGAAGCGUGCGAUUGGAUUGCACGUCUAAGCAGUAAGGCUGAGUAUUAGGCAAAUCCGGUACUCAUUAAGGCUGAGCUGUGAUGGGGAGAAGACAUUGUGUCUUCGAGUCGUUGAUUUCACACUGCCGAGAAAAGCCUCUAGAUAGAAAAUAGGUGCCCGUACCGCAAACCGACACAGGUAGUCAAGAUGAGAAUUCUAAGGUGAGCGAGCGAACUCUCGUUAAGGAACUCGGCAAAAUGACCCCGUAACUUCGGGAGAAGGGGUGCUCUUUAGGGUUAACGCCCAGAAGAGCCGCAGUGAAUAGGCCCAAGCGACUGUUUAUCAAAAACACAGGUCUCUGCUAAACCGUAAGGUGAUGUAUAGGGGCUGACGCCUGCCCGGUGCUGGAAGGUUAAGAGGAGUGGUUAGCUUCUGCGAAGCUACGAAUCGAAGCCCCAGUAAACGGCGGCCGUAACUAUAACGGUCCUAAGGUAGCGAAAUUCCUUGUCGGGUAAGUUCCGACCCGCACGAAAGGCGUAACGAUUUGGGCACUGUCUCAACGAGAGACUCGGUGAAAUCAUAGUACCUGUGAAGAUGCAGGUUACCCGCGACAGGACGGAAAGACCCCGUGGAGCUUUACUGUAGCCUGAUAUUGAAAUUCGGCACAGCUUGUACAGGAUAGGUAGGAGCCUUUGAAACGUGAGCGCUAGCUUACGUGGAGGCGCUGGUGGGAUACUACCCUAGCUGUGUUGGCUUUCUAACCCGCACCACUUAUCGUGGUGGGAGACAGUGUCAGGCGGGCAGUUUGACUGGGGCGGUCGCCUCCUAAAAGGUAACGGAGGCGCUCAAAGGUUCCCUCAGAAUGGUUGGAAAUCAUUCAUAGAGUGUAAAGGCAUAAGGGAGCUUGACUGCGAGACCUACAAGUCGAGCAGGGUCGAAAGACGGACUUAGUGAUCCGGUGGUUCCGCAUGGAAGGGCCAUCGCUCAACGGAUAAAAGCUACCCCGGGGAUAACAGGCUUAUCUCCCCCAAGAGUUCACAUCGACGGGGAGGUUUGGCACCUCGAUGUCGGCUCAUCGCAUCCUGGGGCUGUAGUCGGUCCCAAGGGUUGGGCUGUUCGCCCAUUAAAGCGGUACGCGAGCUGGGUUCAGAACGUCGUGAGACAGUUCGGUCCCUAUCCGUCGUGGGCGUAGGAAAUUUGAGAGGAGCUGUCCUUAGUACGAGAGGACCGGGAUGGACAUACCUCUGGUGUACCAGUUGUCGUGCCAACGGCAUAGCUGGGUAGCUAUGUGUGGACGGGAUAAGUGCUGAAAGCAUCUAAGCAUGAAGCCCCCCUCAAGAUGAGAUUUCCCAACUUCGGUUAUAAGAUCCCUCAAAGAUGAUGAGGUUAAUAGGUUCGAGGUGGAAGCAUGGUGACAUGUGGAGCUGACGAAUACUAA
Molecule: ribosomal RNA, 2580 nt
Filed under: Staphylococcus aureus
Lineage: Bacteria; Bacillati; Bacillota; Bacilli; Caryophanales; Staphylococcaceae
Description: partial 23S ribosomal RNA
Rfam family: Bacterial large subunit ribosomal RNA
Source: RNAcentral